ACUGGUGAUCUCAGUACAGACAUCAUGAAUGCAUCAUUUUUUUUCAGGUAACAGAUUCCUUGCCCCUUUGCCUGUGGGCACAGGCAGACCCACCUCAGCAGCUGCACAGGUUUCUCUGCAGCAGAUUUCUCCACCAAAGACCUCCACAUGGGUGAUAGUGGGGGCUUCAGUUCCUUGCUGUUCCAACAUCUUCUGUGAAGGAGUCUUCCAAAGAAAUCUUGAAAAAUGGUGCCAAGUCCAUAGGUGGAAUUAAUCCCCAGCAUUAGCCAUGCUAGACCCAAUCCACUGGACACCCCAAAGAAGGAACUUUUGGAAACGACUGCGAUGUUGCUUCAGAUCCUGCUGCCAGUGCCUCGCUGGUGGUACUCUUCCAAUUGCCACUCCUACAAGUGGGAGGAGCAGCUUUAGGUCCACACCUGAUAGUCCUGGUGAGGUACAUCCAGGAGAGAACAUAACUUUUACCCUCAACAAGGGCUGGAGCUGCAGCUUCAGCUCCAACUCCAUGUGCAGGGAGGAAUAUCCAGAGCCAAGCACCACUGGGCAGGAGCUGGGCCUCAGGGGACCCUCCUGUCUGGGGUGAGUCUGUUUUCCCAUCUCCAGAAUGUGGUGUGCUG
RNAcentral lists this long non-coding RNA (614 nucleotides) under Ictidomys tridecemlineatus (thirteen-lined ground squirrel). Its description in RNAcentral is "lncRNA (ENSSTOG00000030544.1)". Lineage: Eukaryota; Metazoa; Chordata; Mammalia; Rodentia; Sciuridae. The record is from RNAcentral.